This 332-nucleotide RNase P RNA is filed under the name chicken gut metagenome. Its description in RNAcentral is "Bacterial RNase P class A". It matches the Rfam family "Bacterial RNase P class A". Rfam says of the family: Ribonuclease P (RNase P) is a ubiquitous endoribonuclease, found in archaea, bacteria and eukarya as well as chloroplasts and mitochondria. The record is from RNAcentral.
AGUAAGCCAGAUGGUCGCGCUUUUUAAGUGAGGAAAGUCCGGGCUUCAUAGGGCAGGGUGCCAGUUAACGACUGGUGGAGGCGACUCUAAGGAUAGUGCAACAGAGAUAGACCGCCUGUAUUUUACAGGUAAGGAUGGAAAGGUGAGGUAAGAGCUCACCGCUUUUAUGGUAACAUAAAAGGCUAUGUAAACCCCACCUGAAGCAAGGCCCAAUAGAGAGACAUAUAAGGGGCUGCCCGUCCCGUCUCGGGUAAGGCCGCAUGAUGACAUUGGCGACAAUGUACCAAGAUAGAUGACCGUUUAACACAGAACCCGGCUUAUAGACUUGCUCA